GUGGGGAAUAUUGGACAAUGGGCGAAAGCCUGAUCCAGCCAUGCCGCGUGUGUGAAGAAGGUCUUCGGAUUGUAAAGCACUUUAAGUUGGGAGGAAGGGUAGUAACCUAAUACGUUGCUACUUUGACGUUACCGACAGAAUAAGCACCGGCUAACUUCGUGCCAGCAGCCGCGGUAAUACGAAGGGUGCAAGCGUUAAUCGGAAUUACUGGGCGUAAAGCGCGCGUAGGUGGUUCGUUAAGUUGGAUGUGAAAGCCCCGGGCUCAACCUGGGAACUGCAUCCAAAACUGGCGAGCUAGAGUACGGUAGAGGGUGGUGGAAUUUCCUGUGUAGCGGUGAAAUGCGUAGAUAUAGGAAGGAAAACCAGUGGCGAAGGCGACCACCUGGACUGAUACUGACACUGAGGUGCGAAAGCGUGGGGAGCAAACAGGAUUAGAUACCCGAGUAGUCC
Molecule: ribosomal RNA, 450 nt
Filed under: uncultured bacterium
Lineage: Bacteria
Description: partial 16S ribosomal RNA
Rfam family: Bacterial small subunit ribosomal RNA
Source: RNAcentral